Molecule: ribosomal RNA, 439 nt
Filed under: uncultured bacterium
Lineage: Bacteria
Description: partial 16S ribosomal RNA
Rfam family: Bacterial small subunit ribosomal RNA
Source: RNAcentral
CCUACGGGAGGCAGCAGUGGGGAAUAUUGCACAAUGGGCGAAAGCCUGAUCCAGCAACGCCGCGUGAGCGAAGAAGGCUUUCGGGACGUAAAGCUCUGUCCGCAAGGAAGAUAAUGACGGUACCUGACUAAGAAGCCCCGGCUAACUACGUGCCAGCAGCCGCGGUAAUACGUAGGGGGCAAGCGUUAUCCGGAUUUACUGGGUGUAAAGGGUGCGUAGGUGGUUUCUUAAGUCAGAGGUGAAAGGCCAGUGCCCAACCGUAGGAAGGCUCUGUAACUGGGGAAGGUUGGUGCAUGGGGGGAGAGUGGAAUUCCUAGUGUAGCGGUGAAAUGCGUAGAUAUUAGGAGGAACCCCAGUUGCGAGGGCGGCUCUCUGGACUGUCACUGACACUGUGGCGCGAAGGCGUGGGGAGCCAACAGGAUUAGAUACCAUGGUAGUC